This 494-nucleotide small RNA is filed under the name Cryptococcus neoformans H99. Its description in RNAcentral is "Cryptococcus neoformans var. grubii H99 hypothetical RNA". Lineage: Eukaryota; Fungi; Basidiomycota; Tremellomycetes; Tremellales; Cryptococcaceae. The record is from RNAcentral.
GGGUCCUCCGUUCCUCAAUAGCUUGCAGUGCAGAGCAGCCUGCAGAGCCAUUAUAGCUUUGUGGGACAUUCGUUCCUACCAAAAAGGCAAUUUGCCGUUCAAUUUGGCGCGACGCGUCGAGUCUCUGCUUCGUCGUCUGCGUUAUUGUGAGGUUGGUCUUGGUCAAGACGGCGGAUUGCCAGAAAAAAAAAGCCUCCAACAGUUGCUCAACGGUUCUCUCUAACUUCUUAAGCUGCGCCAAGUGAGAUAACGUAAUGCUUCGGGAAAGAAUGAAGAUGAGAGUAUUGAAACACGCACGUCCGCCUCUGCACCACCAAGGCUUUCGUUCUCCUGCCUGAAGGGUUGAUAAUACAAUCGAAAGCGCCGUCUCCCCCCUCCUUUGCCGUCCAGCCUAUUGACAGGCGAUUGAAUUCCGUUGAUAUAGGAUAAUAUGCCAGAUGUAUAUAGGAGUAUGUGGUAAUAAGAAUCGUGAAUUAGAUAUAUGCAAUACAGAU